GUCCCUGUAGCGCAAUGGAUAGCCCUUUGGAUUUCUCAUCCAAAGGUCGUGGAUUCGAAUCUCACCUGAGAUG
Molecule: non-coding RNA, 73 nt
Organism: Trichonephila inaurata madagascariensis
Lineage: Eukaryota; Metazoa; Arthropoda; Arachnida; Araneae; Nephilidae
Source: the annotation of a GenBank genome assembly